UACGUAGGGGGCAAGCGUUGUCCGGAUUUAUUGGGCGUAAAGCGCGCGUAGGCGGUUACUCAAGUCGGAUGUGAAAGCCCUCGGCUUAACUGAGGAAGUGCACCCGAAACUGAGUAGCUAGAGUACUAAAGAGGGUCGCGGAAUUCCCGGUGUAGAGGUGAAAUUCGUAGAUAUCGGGAGGAACACCGGUGGCGAAGGCGGCGACCUGGGUAGAUACUGACGCUGAUGCGCGAAAGCCAGGGGAGCGAACGGG
RNAcentral lists this ribosomal RNA (253 nucleotides) under uncultured bacterium. Its description in RNAcentral is "partial 16S ribosomal RNA". It matches the Rfam family "Bacterial small subunit ribosomal RNA", at positions 524 to 776 of the family's 1533-position model. The record is from RNAcentral.